RNAcentral lists this ribosomal RNA (2062 nucleotides) under Clostridium botulinum. RNAcentral's name for it is "bacterial LSU rRNA". It matches the Rfam family "Bacterial large subunit ribosomal RNA", at positions 802 to 2883 of the family's 2925-position model. The record is from RNAcentral. Lineage: Bacteria; Bacillati; Bacillota; Clostridia; Eubacteriales; Clostridiaceae.
GGAUGAGCUGUGGAUAGCGGAGAAAUUCCAAUCGAACUCGGAGAUAGCUGGUUCUCCUCGAAAUAGCUUUAGGGCUAGCGUCGUGUAAUUGAGUAAUGGAGGUAGAGCACUGAAUGGGCUAGGGGCUAUAGUAGUUACCGAACCCUAUCAAACUCCGAAUGCCAUAUACUUGUAUCACGGCAGUCAGACUGCGAAUGAUAAGAUCCGUAGUCAAAAGGGAAACAGCCCAGACCAUCAGCUAAGGUCCCAAAGUGUAAGUUAAGUGGAAAAGGAUGUGGGAUUUCUAAGACAACUAGGAUGUUGGCUUAGAAGCAGCCACUCAUUUAAAGAGUGCGUAAUAGCUCACUAGUCAAGAGAUCCUGCGCCGAAGAUGUCCGGGCUCAAACUUACCACCGAAGCUAUGGGUGUACACUAUGUGUACGCGGUAGAGGAGCUUUCUGUAUGGGUUGAAGUCGUACCGUAAGGAGCGGUGGACUGUACAGAAGUGAGAAUGCUGGCAUAAGUAGCGAGAAAUAAGUGAGAAUCUUAUUGGCCGAAACCUAAGGUUUCCUGAGGAAGGUUCGUCCGCUCAGGGUUAGUCGGGACCUAAGCCGAGGCCGAAAGGCGUAGGUGAUGGACAAUCGGUUGAUAUUCCGAUACCGCCUAUUUACGUUUGAGAAAUGGGGUGACGCAGUAGGAUAAGAUGUGCGCACUAUUGGAUGUGCGUCUAAGCACUUAGGCAUGCUUGAUAGGCAAAUCCGUCGAGCUAAGCUGAGGUGUGAUGGGGAGCCAUUUAUGGCGAAGUAUCUGAUUCCACACUGCCAAGAAAAGCCUCUAUCGAGUGAAUAGGUGCCCGUACCGCAAACCGACACAGGUAGGUGAGGAGAGAAUCCUAAGGCCAUCGGAAGAAUUGCUGUUAAGGAACUCGGCAAAUUGACCCCGUAACUUCGGGAGAAGGGGUGCCUACGAAAGUAGGCCGCAGAGAAUAGGCCCAAGCAACUGUUUAGCAAAAACACAGGUCUCUGCUAAAGCGAAAGCUGAUGUAUAGGGCUGACGCCUGCCCGGUGCUGGAAGGUUAAGGGGAACACUUAGCGUAAGCGAAGGUGUGAACUUAAGCCCCAGUAAACGGCGGCCGUAACUAUAACGGUCCUAAGGUAGCGAAAUUCCUUGUCGGGUAAGUUCCGACCCGCACGAAUGGCGUAAUGAUUUGGGCACUGUCUCAACAGCAAAUCCGGCGAAAUUGUAGUGCAAGUGAAGAUGCUUGCUACCCGCGAUUGGACGGAAAGACCCCGUAGAGCUUUACUGUAGCUUAGCAUUGAAUCUCGGUAUUGUCUGUACAGGAUAGGUGGGAGACUUGGAACUUGGGCGUCAGCCUGAGUGGAGUCAUCCUUGGGAUACCACCCUGACAGUACUGGGGUUCUAACCGGCGGCCAUGAAUCUGGUCACGGGACAUUGUUAGGUGGGCAGUUUGACUGGGGCGGUCGCCUCCUAAAAAGUAACGGAGGCGCCCAAAAGUUCCCUCAGCGCGGUCGGAAAUCGCGCGAAGAGUGCAAAGGCAGAAGGGAGCUUGACUGCGACACAUACAGGUGGAGCAGGGACGAAAGUCGGGCUUAGUGAUCCGGUGGUACCUCGUGGGAGGGCCAUCGCUCAACGGAUAAAAGCUACCUCGGGGAUAACAGGCUGAUCUCCCCCAAGAGUCCACAUCGACGGGGAGGUUUGGCACCUCGAUGUCGGCUCGUCGCAUCCUGGGGCUGAAGUAGGUCCCAAGGGUUGGGCUGUUCGCCCAUUAAAGCGGCACGCGAGCUGGGUUCAGAACGUCGUGAGACAGUUCGGUCCCUAUCCGUCGCGGGCGUAGGAAAUUUGAGAGGAGCUGUCCUUAGUACGAGAGGACCGGGAUGGACCAACCUCUGGUGCACCAGUUGUCACGCCAGUGGCACAGCUGGGUAGCUAUGUUGGGACUGGAUAAACGCUGAAAGCAUCUAAGCGUGAAGCCAACCUCAAGAUGAGAUUUCCCAUAGCGUAAGCUAGUAAGACUCCUGGAAGAACACCAGGUUGAUAGGUCAGAGAUGUAAGCAUGGCAACA